This 74-nucleotide transfer RNA is filed under the name Thermoleophilia bacterium. RNAcentral describes it as "tRNA-Gln". It matches the Rfam family "tRNA". From Rfam's summary of the family: Transfer RNA (tRNA) molecules are approximately 80 nucleotides in length. Their secondary structure includes four short double-helical elements and three loops (D, anti-codon, and T loops). The record is from RNAcentral. Lineage: Bacteria; Bacillati; Actinomycetota; Thermoleophilia.
UGCGGGAUCGUCUAAUGGUAGGACGCCGGAUUCUGGUUCCGGAAGUUGGGGUUCGAGUCCCUGUCCCGCAGCUA